Molecule: ribosomal RNA, 751 nt
Filed under: uncultured bacterium
Lineage: Bacteria
Description: bacterial SSU rRNA
Rfam family: Bacterial small subunit ribosomal RNA
Source: RNAcentral
CCCUUAGAGUUUGAUCCUGGCUCAGAAUCAACGCUGGCGGCGUGCCUCAGACAUGCAAGUCGAACGAUUAAAGCUCCCUUCGGGGAGUGCAUAAAGUGGCGCACGGGUGAGUAACACGUAAGUAAUCUACCCUCGAGUGGGGAAUAACAUCGGGAAACCGAUGCUAAUACCGCAUAAUGCAGCGGCACCGCAAGGUGACAGUUGUUAAAGAUUUAUCGCUUGAAGAGGAGCUUGCGGCAGAUUAGCUAGUUGGUAAGGUAAUGGCUUACCAAGGCUACGAUCUGUAUCCGGUCUAAGAGGACGGUCGGACACACUGACACUGAAUAACGGGUCAGACUCCUACGGGAGGCAGCAGUCGGGAAUUUUGGGCAAUGGGGGAAACCCUGACCCAGCAACGCCGCGUGAAGGAUGAAGUAUUUCGGUAUGUAAACUUCGAAAGAAUGGGAAGAAUAAAUGACGGUACCAUUUAUAAGCUCCGGCUAACUACGUGCCAGCAGCCGCGGUAAUACGUAGGGAGCAAGCGUUGUUCGGAUUUACUGGGCGUAAAGGGCGCGUAGGCGGCAGAUCAAGUCAGCUGUGAAAUCUCCGAGCUUAACUCGGAACGGUCAGCUGAUACUGUUUUGCUAGAGUGCAGAAAGGGCAAUCGGAAUUCUUGGUGUAGCGGUGAAAUGCGUAGAUAUCAAGAGGAACACCUGAGGCGAAGGCGGGUUGCUAGGCUGACACUGACGCUGAGGCGCGAAAGCCAGGGGAG